GUGCUUGUUUUGGCAGCACACUGAAACAAUAUAGAGAAGAUCAGCAUGAUCCCUGUACAUGGAUGACACACAAAUUUGUGAGGUGUUGUAUAUUUCU
Molecule: small nuclear RNA, 97 nt
Filed under: Rhinopithecus bieti (black snub-nosed monkey)
Lineage: Eukaryota; Metazoa; Chordata; Mammalia; Primates; Cercopithecidae
Source: RNAcentral